This is a long non-coding RNA of Scatophagus argus, 357 nucleotides long. RefSeq lists it as uncharacterized. The transcript is spliced from 3 exons. NCBI's taxonomy places the organism in Eukaryota, Metazoa, Chordata, Actinopteri, Scatophagidae. The record is from RefSeq and is a predicted model, not a curated record.
GACUGUUUGCUGAUUUGUAAACAGUAGCGGGUCAGGCGGAUGUGCUGAAGACCAGCUGACUGCUCACGUGACCACGGAGCCGAGACCGACGGUGUCUGCAGGCUGUAAACGCUUAAAAUACAACACAGUUGAUUUCAAGCAGUAAAUUGGAGGGAUUUACCAAAGAUAAGACAAAAUGUCCUGCCUGAGGAGGAUGGAAGAACAACCAGAGGGAUCUUCUACAAUCUGUCUUUUCAUCACCUUCCUCCUCCUGUUCCCCCAGAGGUAUGUUUGACUGCGGCUCUGUGCAGCCAUUCUGCUUGUCUUGGCUGUGUUUUGGGCUCUGGCUAUUGUGCUGAUGCUGAUCGUGGUCCUGGC